UUCUACUCCCAAGGUGCACUAUGCCAAGUAGUUUGCCAGUAAUCACUGUGUACAGUGGCUCGGUUCAAAUCUAGGCCAAAGUUCUACAUUUGUUAGAGUUUAGGAUCAGUAAUGGCAAAGCCUUAAGUCAAUAGUGGCGAUAUACCAUCCUGUUUGUGGAGGGGGAGAGGGAAGGAAAGUGAAGAGGAGUUGGGAGUUCUAGUUACUCAAACAUUGGUGGCUAAUAUUUAUGUCAAUCGAGAGUGUGGCGCUUAAGAAUGUGACCGGAUGAAAAACAAUCCAUAGACUGCAUUAGAAAUCGCAAGGGAUACAUAGUGAUACAUAGGUACUACACAGGGCGACGCAGGUAGUGUCAGCAUGUUGGUGGUGUGUGUUGCUGUGAUCUUCAGCCUGGUCUCGGUGAGUCAGACGGCUCCUUCUUCUCAAGACUGCGAGAAACUCCUCAAACCCCUGGACAUGGAGACCAAUGAUCUGCUCCUAGGGAAUUGGUCUUUGGUGGCUGUCAGCAACAAUCGACCAGGCGCCAGGACUCUAAGUGAAGUUCUGUUAAUUAACGCCCGAUGGGACAUUGUACGCUGGGAAAAGAGCGACGUACUGAAAAGCACCAUUUGUGUGAAAUAUCCCGAUAGGACCACUGGGCCAAGAAAUAACAUCUCUUUGCUGAUUAGUGAAAAAUGUCUCAGUUACAGUUUCAACAUGACUCUUGAAGACAACAAGCUUAGCUGGAUGUCCGGAGUGCCUUCCACUGCCAUUUUCCUGCCCACUUGUCCAGACUGUCUUUUGACCCAGACUACAACCUCCAUCAAUGGAAACACCUACAUCUCUCUGGAACUCUACAGUGAAAGAAGGGAACUCACUACUGAUGAACUCUCUCAGUUUAAAACACAGGUUGAAUGUCUCAAAAUGCCACCUGUGUAUUUCAUCAACACAACAACAGAGCUCUGUCCAGACUAUGUCGGAGUAGAACCCCAGAUGAAUUUCACACCCAACUUCUUCCGUGAAAUUCUGGACUUCAUGGAGAGAAAUAUUGUCAAGGUGUCGAUGAGAAUCAUUGAUUUCCUCAUCGAGAAGGGAGAGCACCAGGGUUUGUUAAGACCUGGAGAUGUCAGAGCCUCAGUUUUGAGCCUGUUGGAAUUAAUACGUUUUUUUGUAUUUAACUGAAGAUCUGUUUUAUGUUCUCAGUUGAAACCUUACAGUACAUCAUUUUAAUCUGCCCAAAUACUUUUGGAACCCUAAAAUAGGUGAACUAUGACCCACCCAUCAUUGUAUCAUUUUAAAUCCAAAGAUGCAAAAUAAAGCCUGAAAAUGUUUUAGUUCACUUUGACUUUCUAUUAAUAUAUAUAUAUAUAUAUGCAUUUUAUGUAUGAGGUGAGAUGAGAGAUAUGUAUGUCUACAUAAAACCAAAAUCAUAAUUAUUGUUGUAAUUAUUUAAUAUCUGUUAAAAAAAUAUAUGUAUAUAUACAUUUUUUACUGCGUUAAUACUCCUGUGUGUGUUAUCCCAGAGGAGCAGGACCUAAUGCCAAGACCUUGCAUGUACAGUACAUUGCUGUAAAUAAGUAAUCCAAUCAAUGGUUAAUCUAAUAUAUGGUGUUUUCAGUCUGAACUUGUUUUUGUUAAAAAAAAAAUUGGGUUCAACUGUGUUUUUAUGUUGCCCCAAUAACCAAUGAGUCGUACAAAUGCCAUGAAGCCUUUUUACCAGUUAAAACAACUGAAAAUGUGUUGUAAUCACAGUUGUAUAUAGAACAUUUACAUUUCCUCUGAUGACCAUCAAUAGAUAUCAGCCAAUAUAUGGAUGUAAUCUACAGCUCCAUUAGGUUGAUAUCAAACCUUUCUUUACGUCUAAUGAUUUUACAUUUCAAGGGACAUUAUACCUAUAUAAGCUACACUUUCUUGUUCAGAUGGGGUGAGAGGAUUUUGGCUUUGUGAC
This is a long non-coding RNA of Esox lucius (northern pike), 1927 nucleotides long. NCBI's taxonomy places the organism in Eukaryota, Metazoa, Chordata, Actinopteri, Esociformes, Esocidae. The record is from Ensembl.